Molecule: long non-coding RNA, 926 nt
Filed under: Hordeum vulgare
Lineage: Eukaryota; Viridiplantae; Streptophyta; Magnoliopsida; Poales; Poaceae
Description: long non-coding RNA (HVUL_LNC014993)
Source: RNAcentral
GUGGGUCAGGUCGGGGUAAGCACGCCGUUGGCGCAUAAAAAAAGUGAUACAGUGGACAUGACCGGGAGUGGGCCACAUGUUAUAUAGAUUCGUCGGGCCCACAACCUGUUAGAUGGCCGCCCUACUUAGCUGAUGCCAAUGGGGAGAGAGAGGCACACAUUGUUGUACGACAAUCUGAAUCCUGCAUGCUCCUCAUUCCUCGCCUUCUUCUUGCUCAAGCAAACUACUCCCUUUAUCUCAUCUUGAUUCUUCAUCCCCUUCUCUAUAUUGAUCCUUGAUCAUCGCAAGAUCAUUAGAGCAACUUCAAUAGGACGACCCAAACGGACGGCUAUGUAAUCUUUUUUUAUUUGUUUGGAUCGGUUCAGCGGACACCAAAGCCCGUUUCGGCGUUUGGGUCGACGCAUGCGCUCAACGCUGGUUCGAUACGUUUUUGCCGACGUAUGAGAAUAUAUAUAUAAAGCAUUGCUAAAAAUAAUAAACAAACAUAAUUAAAACAUUAAAAGCCGACCACGAAGGCCGGUAAGAGUUCACACGUCCCCAUUACAUUAAUUAAAUAUAAAUAAACCUAAACUAGGAGGCAAUCCUAGGCGGCGAUGCCGUCGUCGUCCCGGCAGAUGAGGUCGCCAGCUUAGGCGCGGGGCCGGUCUACGGGAUUGCCUUGUUGCAGAGUGCAGUUGCCUCCGUCUCCGUCAUAUUUCCCGCCGGCGUGAGUUGUGCUGCUCGCGGUGGCAGCGCAGCAUGGGCGCACUCCUCCUUCUCCAUCUCCCGUGGUUCGUCCCCCGCCUCCUUCUCCAGCCCCAUCUGCCGAUGGCCUUUGGCGCGCUCCGUGCGCGAGUGCUCCGACUUCCAGUGCAGGCGGUAGGCUUCCUGCUGCUCCGGUGUCGCGCCCAGCCAGAUGGGCAGCGCACUGACCCACUCGCGGACGC